This is a non-coding RNA of Pseudogymnoascus pannorum, 139 nucleotides long. The record is from Rfam. Lineage: Eukaryota; Fungi; Ascomycota; Leotiomycetes; Thelebolales; Thelebolaceae.
AUUCGGCAUGAUAACUAGAUGACGGUUCCGAUUCCUACGACCAUAGUCCUUUAAGUUGCCGAUAUAUUAUCAUGCGAGGAUCUUACACGUUUCAUGUUAUUUCCAUUAACUAUGCGACUUUUAAAUUUUCGCGAUAUAC